RNAcentral lists this ribosomal RNA (253 nucleotides) under uncultured bacterium. RNAcentral's name for it is "partial 16S ribosomal RNA". It matches the Rfam family "Bacterial small subunit ribosomal RNA", at positions 524 to 776 of the family's 1533-position model. The record is from RNAcentral.
UACGUAGGGUGCAAGCGUUAAUCGGAAUUACUGGGCGUAAAGCGCGCGUAGGCGGCUUUGUAAGUUAGAGGUGAAAGCCCGGGGCUCAACUCCGGAACUGCCUUUAAGACUGCAUCGCUUGAAUCCAGGAGAGGUGAGUGGAAUUCCGAGUGUAGAGGUGAAAUUCGUAGAUAUUCGGAAGAACACCAGUGGCGAAGGCGGCUCACUGGACUGGUAUUGACACUGAGGUGCGAAAGCGUGGGGAGCAAACAGG